CCCUCGGAAGCGAGUGGACUCCCCCAUGCUGAGCCGGCACGGGAAGCGGCGGCCGGAGCGGAAGUCCAUGGAAGUCCUGAGUAUCACGGAUGCGGGCGGCGGCGGCUCCCCGGUGCCCACCCGGCGGGCCCUGGAGAUGGCCCAGCACAGUCAGAGAUCCCGUAGCGUCAGUGGAGCCUCCACCGGCCUGUCCUCCAGUCCUCUGAGCAGUCCGCGGAGUCCGGUCUUUUCCUUCUCACCGGAGCCUGGGGCUGGAGAUGAGGCUCGGGGAGGAGGCUCCCCGACUUCCAAAAC
Molecule: long non-coding RNA, 294 nt
Organism: Myotis davidii
Lineage: Eukaryota; Metazoa; Chordata; Mammalia; Chiroptera; Vespertilionidae
Exons: 3
Source: RefSeq, a predicted model, not a curated record